RNAcentral lists this ribosomal RNA (519 nucleotides) under uncultured eukaryote. RNAcentral's name for it is "SSU rRNA". It matches the Rfam family "Eukaryotic small subunit ribosomal RNA", at positions 1161 to 1699 of the family's 1831-position model. The record is from RNAcentral.
AGGGCACCACCAGGAGUGGAGCCUGCGGCUUAAUUUGACUCAACACGGGAAAACUCACCCGGCCCGGACACUGGAAGGAUUGACAGAUUGAGAGCUCUUUCUUGAUUCAGUGGGUGGUGGUGCGUGGCCGUUCUUAGUUGGUGGAGUGAUUUGUCUGGUUAAUUCCGAUAACGAACGAGACUCUAGCCUACUAAAUAGAUCGUCGGCUUACAAACGCCGGCGAGACUUCUUAGAGGGACAGGCGGUGAUUCAACCGCACGAAACAGAGCAAUAACAGGUCUGUGAUGCCCUUAGAUGUCCGGGGCCGCACGCGCGCUACACUGAAGUGAUCAGCGUGCUUUUUCAACCUACUCUGUCAAGAGUGGGGAACCCAAUGAACCUUCUUCGUGAUUGGGAUAGGGGAUUGUAAUUAUUCCCCUUGAACGAGGAAUUCCCAGUAAGCGCGAGUCAUAAGCUCGCGUUGAUUACGUCCCUGCCCUUUGUACACACCGCCCGUCGCUACUACCGAUUGAAUGUUUU